Molecule: long non-coding RNA, 847 nt
Filed under: Mus pahari (shrew mouse)
Lineage: Eukaryota; Metazoa; Chordata; Mammalia; Rodentia; Muridae
Description: lncRNA (MGP_PahariEiJ_G0004947.1)
Source: RNAcentral
GUUGCAAAGGCAGAGAGGGGAGAAGUGAUGACGGUGAUCGUUGUCGCCGCGUCUUCUGUGGAGCCCAAGCAGUGCCGAAGGAAGUCGCCAGGCUCUUCCCCGACCUUUUGCUCCUCUCCCUGCGCGAGCCUCAGCUUACAUUGUAGCCCAAGCUGGCCUUGGAUGUGUGGCAAUCCUACCUCUACCUACUGAGCACCGGGAUUAUAGAGAUCUAGGCUUACAUUGCUAUUACGCCUCCAACAGCAGCAGCCAGAUGGUGCAGUGAUUUUGAAACAGGCUUUGAUAAAUCCACAAAGGAGCCACUUGAGGUUGCAUCGAGUAACCAAUGAGAACUAACCAGGACAACUACCAACAGAGAUGCUCUUUUGCCAACUGACAAAUGUUGCUGUUUAGUAUAGUCAUUUUGUCAGACCUCUCAGAUCCAAGCCUCUUGAGUUGGUCCACCCCAGUAUCUACCUCAUCUAUGACCUGCUAGAGCAUGUGAAGGGGCCGGUCCUGCAGAUCCAAAGCUGCAGAAUCUCCAUGACACAGGACAACAACAGGAUAUCCAAGAAGAAUCCUGAUGAGGAUCUAGUAUUAAUGGUAUAACAGAAGCCAGAGGCCUUAAAACACACCAAUGAGUAAUUGCAAUGAACAUUUGCAAGUAAAGAAGUGUGGACAAAGGGUGUACUGUGGGACAUACUGUGACACACUGUGAUACACUACAGCUUCCAUGACCAAAUUUUUGUUUGUUUGUUUUUAUUUUUUAUUUUCUUUGGGGUGGAGGUUGCAAGGGUGGAGAACAGGAGAUAGGGAGAUGAAUGGAAUUGGGGUAUAUGAUGUAAAAUUCACAGAGUCAAUAAAAAGU